RNA transcript from Micropterus salmoides (largemouth bass), 1438 nucleotides. It is a transcript of the gene named doublecortin domain-containing protein 2, with no coding region annotated. NCBI's taxonomy places the organism in Eukaryota, Metazoa, Chordata, Actinopteri, Centrarchiformes, Centrarchidae. The transcript is spliced from 13 exons. The record is from RefSeq and is a predicted model, not a curated record.
CUUAGUAAAUAUGCCGGGAACUGCAGGUGCAGCUGACCUGCCGCCGACAAAAACAAUAAUUGUCUACAGGAACGGAGACGCUUUCUUCCCCGGAAGGAAAGUAGUCGUGAAUCCGCGGCAGGUGUCAACCUUUGACAACUUGCUGACCUAUUUGACCAGAGGGAUUGAGGCUCCGUUUGGCGCCGUGAGGAAGCUGUACACUCCCACAGAGGGACACAAAGUUCAGCAUAUGGACGAUUUGAAGCAUGGGAGUGCAUAUGUUGCAGGCGGAAAUGAACAGUUUAAAAAGCUGGACUAUUGUGAGAUUACACACAAGAAGCCACAGAAUAAGGAAAAAGAACCGAUCCUACCUGUUGUUCACAGCAGAUUAGUAGUUUCUGCUCGCUGGAGGAGAACUUCUGAUGAGUCUUGUACGAUAAAUGUCUUCACCAACGGAGAUGUCUUGGUUCCUCCAGCUCGAAUACGGAUCCCAAAGUAUACUCUUAGAAGCUGGGAAAAUGUUUUAGCAAUGGUGACAAAGAGAGUGGGUCUUCGCACUGGGGCUGUGUACAGGCUUUGCAGAUUAGAUGGACGUCCUGUCUGUGGUCCCACUGAACUUCAGAAUAACCAGCACUAUGUUGCAGUUGGUGCAGAAAAGUUUAAAGCUCUCCCAUAUGAGCACCGCACCCCCUGCAGGGAUUUAAUCCGGGAAAACAAGAUGUUUGAAGGCCAAGACACCCUGCCUGCCAUUAGAAAGACAAGACAUGCAAAGGAUGUGUUUGCUCACACAGGCUUUAGAGAGGACCUUGAGCCCGCAGCCAGGGGCCAGAUGCAGAAACCCACAGCCAAGCUGCAGAGAACCAAACAACAGAGGCAGGUGUCCAGAAACCCAGUUCUCCUCUCAACAGGGGAGGGCAGCGUGUUCCAUGCACAAAACAAAAGAAGUGAGGUGGCAGGAGCAGCCGAGGUGCAGGAAGAGCGCCAGUUGAAGGUGGACCUGCCAAUUGAUCAGGUUGAGGCCAAGAUAGUUGACGAGGAGUAUGAGGAUAGGAGUUGUUGUGCGAGCCCCUGCAAGGCCUCCCUCCAUGAUUCAGACGGCUUGUAUCUGCAGAGGUCUUUUUCGGCAGGUUCUGGGAAGGAUGUCACAUAAAAUGGUCUAACCAGCAAUUAUGCAGCGCAGCCUUUCUUUAGGGCAAUGAGAGUCUGUAAAGACCCCAGGGCACAAUUCUAAUACUGGAGACACAGGAUUAAAACCACCUGAGCACCAGAAAAAAUUUAACCGUAACCUUCAUUGCUGUGAUGGCAGGACAAGCCAGAGCCAUAGAAUACAAUGUCAGACUGCUACGGACCAGACAUCCUUGUUCUCUUCUGUCUCCAAAUGCCAGCUGCUCAUGUAUAAGUUGAAACCGUGUUAAAAACCAAAUAAAAAUGUCUUGCCUCUUGACAGCCCCACCGUGAA